RNAcentral lists this unclassified non-coding RNA (444 nucleotides) under Hevea brasiliensis (rubber tree). The record is from RNAcentral. Lineage: Eukaryota; Viridiplantae; Streptophyta; Magnoliopsida; Malpighiales; Euphorbiaceae.
GGCAGAACUGGGGUCAAGUUGAUAAUUCAAGAUAUGAUUUUUGCUUCUUAUGCGUGAAUGCAUCUCUGACCACUUUGGAUCCAUUUGUCGAUAGAAGAGUUGAUCACAUGGUUGAUGCUGGUCUAUUGAAGGAAGUUCUUGACAUCUACGUUAUGAAUGCAGACUAUACAAAAGGCUUGAGGCAGGCCAUAGGUGUUAGGGAAUUCGAGUCAUUUCUUAGGUGUUACAUACUGGAACAUCAAAAACCUUGUAGUGGAUCUCACGAUCAGACACUAAAUGAUCAGAUAUUGAAGCAAAAUAUACAGCAUUUUGUGGGUUCCCCUGAUGAUAAUGAAUGGAAAGCUCUUCUAACUGAAGCAAUUCAACAAGUCAAAUUGAACACACGGAGACUAGUUCGACGUCAAAGGAGAAGACUCAAUCGUUUGCAGAUGCUAUAUGGAUGGA